UACCUGGUUGAUUCUGCCAGUAGUCAUAUGCUUGUCUCAAAGAUUAAGCCAUGCAUGUCUAAGUAUAAGCAAUUAUACCGCGAAACUGCGAAUGGCUCAUUAUAUAAGUUAUCGUUUAUUUGAUAGCACAUUACUACAUGGAUAACUGUGGUAAUUCUAGAGCUAAUACAUGCUAAAAAUCCCGACUUCGGAAGGGAUGUAUUUAUUAGAUUAAAAGCCAACGCCCUUCGGGGCUUCCUGGUGAUUCAUAAUAACUUUUCGAAUCGCAUGGCCUUGCGCCGGCGAUGGUUCAUUCAAAUUUCUUCCCUAUCAACUUUCGAUGCGAAGGUAUUGUCUUCGCAUGGUUGCAACGGGUAACGGAGGGUUAGGGCUCGACCCCGGAGAAGGAGCCUGAGAAACGGCUACUACAUCCAAGGA
Molecule: ribosomal RNA, 417 nt
Filed under: Lomentospora prolificans
Lineage: Eukaryota; Fungi; Ascomycota; Sordariomycetes; Microascales; Microascaceae
Description: Scedosporium prolificans Eukaryotic small subunit ribosomal RNA
Rfam family: Eukaryotic small subunit ribosomal RNA
Source: Rfam by way of RNAcentral